GGGCCUGUAGUGUAGUGGACAGCACAUAAGCCUCCGGAGCUUAUAUCCUGGGUUCAAAUCCCAGCAGGCCCG
Molecule: transfer RNA, 72 nt
Organism: Methanosalsum zhilinae DSM 4017
Lineage: Archaea; Methanobacteriati; Methanobacteriota; Methanomicrobia; Methanosarcinales; Methanosarcinaceae
Rfam family: tRNA
About the family: Transfer RNA (tRNA) molecules are approximately 80 nucleotides in length. Their secondary structure includes four short double-helical elements and three loops (D, anti-codon, and T loops).
Source: Rfam